RNAcentral lists this ribosomal RNA (440 nucleotides) under uncultured bacterium. RNAcentral's name for it is "partial 16S ribosomal RNA". It matches the Rfam family "Bacterial small subunit ribosomal RNA", at positions 338 to 795 of the family's 1533-position model. The record is from RNAcentral.
CCUACGGGAGGCAGCAGUGGGGAAUAUUGCACAAUGGGGGAAACCCUGAUGCAGCGACGCCGCGUGAGUGAAGAAGUAUUUCGGUAUGUAAAGCUCUAUCAGCAGGGAAGAAAAUGAGGGUACCUGACUAAGAAGCCCCGGUUAACUACGUGCCAGCAGCCGCGGUAAUACGUAGGGGGCAAGCGUUAUCAGGAUUUACUGGGGGUAAAGGGGGCGUAGAGGGGAGCGCAAGGCUGGAGUGAAAUCGUAUGGCUUAACCAUGGUACGGCUUUGGAAACUGUGGAGCUAGAGUGCAGGAUAGGUAAGCGGAAUUCCUAGGGUAGCGGUGAAAUGCGUAGAUAUUAGGAAGAACACCAGUGGCGAAGGCGGCUUACUGGACUGUAACUGACGUUGAGGCUCGAAAGCGUGGGGAGCAAACAGGAUUAGAUACCCCAGUAGUC